AUGAAACAAGUCUGCGGUAGUUCAAAACUGGAAUUGGCACAAUAUCGUGAAGUGGCCGCCUUCGCUCAAUUUGGGUCAGACCUUGAUGCUGCGACUCAGGCAUUACUCAAUAGAGGUGCAAGGCUUACAGAAGUGCCCAAACAACCACAAUAUGAACCCCUUCCAAUUGAAAAACAAAUUGUUGUGAUUUAUGCUGCUGUCAACGGCUUCUGUGAUCGAAUGCCACUAGACAGAAUUUCUCAAUAUGAAAAAGCCAUUCUAAGUACUAUUAAUCCUGAAUUACAAAAAUCCUUCUUAGAAAAAGGUGGCUUAACUAACGAAAGAAAGAUGGAACCAGAUGCUUCUUUAAAAGAAAGCACUUUGCCUUACCUGUGA
Molecule: ribosomal RNA, 375 nt
Filed under: Triticum aestivum (bread wheat)
Lineage: Eukaryota; Viridiplantae; Streptophyta; Magnoliopsida; Poales; Poaceae
Description: partial small subunit ribosomal RNA
Source: RNAcentral